AUGGCGGGGACCUCCGGAGCCCAGAUCUCCUCCCGUCGGGCGGCUAUCCGACCGAGGGCCCUUCGCGAUCCGCGCCGCCCCUGCCCUUCCUCCAACAUCCGAUCCCACACCCAAUCAGCUGGACGCAAGCGAAAAUACUCGGUGGCCAUCGACGUGGAUCCCGUCCGUGACUGGGCGAACAUCGGGGACGGGCCCGCCGGCCUGAUCGCCGAGCUUGCCCUCGCCAGCGACGUGGCCGACUAUGUCCGCUUCCGCGCCGUGUGCCGGCCGUGGCGGCGGUGCUCGCCGGACCCGUGCGCCGGCGGCCUGGACGGCCGCUUCCUGCCCCGCAAGUGCAUCAUGCUUGACAAGGCGCUUGCCAGGCCCCGCCGACAUCGCUUGCUUAAUGUGUCUACAGGCGAGUGCAUACGGAUGGACCUCCCGGAGCUCGCGGAGCACACGUUGCUCGCGCUCACCCCAGAAGGCCUCCUCCUCCUGCUCCUCAAGUCCACCCUGGUUGUCCGCCUGCUUAACCCGCUCACACGGCAGCUCACCGACCUUCCGCUGAUGACCGCUCUCCUGAGACCAGGGCAGCAUCGGUCCAGGCAAUGUGGUGUCGAGAUAGGAAGAACAAUAAAUGUGUCCGGCGUGGGUCUUGUUGCCGACGCCUCCAUGGUGGCAGUCAAUUUCUUUGAUCCCAGGGGGCUUGUCGUCGCUAAGCCCGGCGAUGAGAGUUGGACCAUGGUCGACAAGGAAUACAUGAAUUCGGUUUUGCCUUUUGCGGGGCGCUUCUACUGCGCCAACUACAGGGGCGUCAUGGUGCUGACGACCAGCUCGGAUCAGCAGCCGCCCCGGCUCCAGUUGGUCGCUGACCGGAGCGACUCAUUUGAUUUCUACCGGAUGGCGCACAGCCUUCACCUGGUGGACAAUGGCGGGGAGUUGAUGCUGGUGCACCGAGCGCUAAGCCUGGACGGCGAGUAUGGCAGGAGUUAUGAUGCUUACAGAGUGGAUUUGGAAGCUGGGGUCCUGGCCCCAGCCAAGGGCUUCAACGGGCGCGCCGUGUUCAUGGGCAUGUGCCGCUCAAUUUCUGUACCAGCUGAGGCUGCUUACCCCUCUGUCGCUGCUGAUACCAUCUACCUGGGACGCGAUUGUGGUGGCCAGAUUCAGGGGUACAAUAUCGCGGAUGGAAGCAUAUGCAGUCUGAUUGAGGCAGUAUGUCCGCAUAGUAUUGUGGAUUGUCUCCGCUGCUGCAUCCAGGGACUCGGCAAGCAACUUGCUUGA
This 1260-nucleotide ribosomal RNA is filed under the name Triticum aestivum (bread wheat). RNAcentral's name for it is "partial small subunit ribosomal RNA". Lineage: Eukaryota; Viridiplantae; Streptophyta; Magnoliopsida; Poales; Poaceae. The record is from RNAcentral.